RNAcentral lists this ribosomal RNA (440 nucleotides) under uncultured bacterium. Its description in RNAcentral is "partial 16S ribosomal RNA". It matches the Rfam family "Bacterial small subunit ribosomal RNA", at positions 338 to 795 of the family's 1533-position model. The record is from RNAcentral.
CCUACGGGCGGCUGCAGUAGGGAAUAUUGCUCAAUGGGCGAAACCCUGAAGCAGCAACGUCGCGUGGAGGAUGACGGUUUUAGGAUUGUAAACUUCUUUUUUUAGAGAAGUUUAUGACGGCAUCUUACGCUUAAUCACAGACUAACUCCGUGCCAGCAGCCGUGGUAAGACGGAGGGUGCAAGCGUUACUCGGAAUCACUGGGCGUAAAGAGUGCGUAGGCGGUGUAAUAAGUCAGAGGUGAAAUCCUGUAGCUUAACUACAGAAUUGCAUUUGAAACUGUUACUCUGGAGUGUGGGAGAGGUAGGUGGAAUUCUUGGUGUAGGGGUAAAAUCCGUAGAGAUCAAGAGGAAUACUCAUUGCGAAGGCGACCUGCUGGAACAUUACUGACGCUGAUGCACGAAAGCGUGGGGAGCAAACAGGAUUAGAUACCCCAGUAGUC